RNAcentral lists this non-coding RNA (24 nucleotides) under Drosophila melanogaster (fruit fly). Lineage: Eukaryota; Metazoa; Arthropoda; Insecta; Diptera; Drosophilidae. The record is from RNAcentral.
UCCUGAUACAUCAUUCGACCCGAA